UGCAACCCCGAUCCCCGCGGUGGCUCCGAAACCCGACGUGGUUCCGAACCCAGGGGCAGUUCUGAGCCCCGCGGAGCUCCGCACCUCUCGUUGGCUCCGAUUCGCGGUGCAGUUGCGGCCCCCGGGCGGGUUCGCAGCCCGGUUAUCCCGUCCCGCAGCCCCGCUCGGUGCCGGUGGUGCUCACCUGGCCCUGCAGGUGGGAUUGGCCCCGCUGAGAGUCGAGUUCCUUUGGGCUCGACUCUCUAUGUGGAAGGAGCCAACAAUGGCAUAGAAGCAAAAUUACCCCUAAAAAGGGCCAAGGAGAGGCUGAAAAACAGAUGGAAGUGGGAGCUGAGUUGUGUACCAGAUAUCCCUCAGACUGGUGGGAAAGAGAGAAAAUUCAUGCAGACAACGGAAAAAAAUAUUUGUGCAGCUUACAGAGACACAUCCAGGGGGACUGAGCUGUUGCUGGAAGGAACCUCUGACUCCAGCUUGCCUCAUCCAUUCGGGAAGCAGCGUGAGUGCAGCCUAAGCCACCUGGCUUUAGGAAGGAGGGUGCUUUUCUCUGCACCUUCUCUCUGACUCUUAACAGCUUUUAAUAAAAUUCUGGCAACUUGGCACAUCUGAGAAGUUGGCUGCUGCCCAUCAGGGAUGUAUGUCAUGAAUUCUUGUGCUGCAGAUGCCUUUCUGGAAUAAAUCACAUGUGUUUACCUUGGGAACCAGGCACAGGACCCCAGGACUUGAGGUUCAAGUAUUACAAGGCACUAAAGUGACAAGCAGCUCCUUUAA
Molecule: long non-coding RNA, 768 nt
Organism: Zonotrichia leucophrys gambelii
Lineage: Eukaryota; Metazoa; Chordata; Aves; Passeriformes; Passerellidae
Exons: 3
Source: RefSeq, a predicted model, not a curated record